This 745-nucleotide ribosomal RNA is filed under the name Bacillus sonorensis. RNAcentral's name for it is "bacterial SSU rRNA". It matches the Rfam family "Bacterial small subunit ribosomal RNA", at positions 51 to 778 of the family's 1533-position model. The record is from RNAcentral. Lineage: Bacteria; Bacillati; Bacillota; Bacilli; Caryophanales; Bacillaceae.
UAUCAUGCAGUCGAGCGAACAGAGAAGGAGCUUGCUCCUUCGACGUUAGCGGCGGACGGGUGAGUAACACGUGGGCAACCUACCUUAUAGUUUGGGAUAACUCCGGGAAACCGGGGCUAAUACCGAAUAAUCUGUUUCACCUCAUGGUGAAACACUGAAAGACGGUUUCGGCUGUCGCUAUAGGAUGGGCCCGCGGCGCAUUAGCUAGUUGGUGAGGUAACGGCUCACCAAGGCGACGAUGCGUAGCCGACCUGAGAGGGUGAUCGGCCACACUGGGACUGAGACACGGCCCAGACUCCUACGGGAGGCAGCAGUAGGGAAUCUUCCACAAUGGGCGAAAGCCUGAUGGAGCAACGCCGCGUGAGUGAAGAAGGAUUUCGGUUCGUAAAACUCUGUUGUAAGGGAAGAACAAGUACAGUAGUAACUGGCUGUACCUUGACGGUACCUUAUUAGAAAGCCACGGCUAACUACGUGCCAGCAGCCGCGGUAAUACGUAGGUGGCAAGCGUUGUCCGGAAUUAUUGGGCGUAAAGCGCGCGCAGGUGGUUUCUUAAGUCUGAUGUGAAAGCCCACGGCUCAACCGUGGAGGGUCAUUGGAAACUGGGAGACUUGAGUGCAGAAGAGGAUAGUGGAAUUCCAAGUGUAGCGGUGAAAUGCGUAGAGAUUUGGAGGAACACCAGUGGCGAAGGCGACUAUCUGGUCUGUAACUGACACUGAGGCGCGAAAGCGUGGGGAGCAAACAGGAU